This 468-nucleotide ribosomal RNA is filed under the name uncultured bacterium. Its description in RNAcentral is "partial 16S ribosomal RNA". It matches the Rfam family "Bacterial small subunit ribosomal RNA", at positions 28 to 507 of the family's 1533-position model. The record is from RNAcentral.
GACGAACGCUGGCGGCGUGCUUAACACAUGCAAGUCGAACGGAAAGACCCUGCUUUUGUGGGGUGCUCGAGUGGCGAACGGGUGAGUAACACGUGAGUAACCUGCCCUUGACUUUGGGAUAACUUCAGGAAACUGGGGCUAAUACCGGAUAGGAGCUCCUGCUGCAUGGUGGGGGUUGGAAAGUUUCGGCGGUUGGGGAUGGACUCGCGGCUUAUCAGCUUGGUGGUGGGGUAGUGGCUUACCAAGGCUUUGACGGGUAGCCGGCCUGAGAGGGUGACCGGCCACAUUGGGACUGAGAUGCGGCCCAGACUCCUACGGGAGGCAGCAGUGGGGUAUAUUGCACAAUGGGCGGAAGCCUGAUGCGGCAACGCCGCGUGCGGGAUGACGGCCUUCGGGUUGUAAACCGCUUUCGCCUGUGACGAAGCGUGAGUGACGGUAAUGGGUAAAGAAGCACCGGCUAACUACGUG